GACGAACGCUGGCGGCGUGCCUAAUACAUGCAAGUAGAACACUGAAGCUUGGUGCUUGCACCGAGCGGAUGAGUUGCGAACGGGUGAGUAACGCGUAGGUAACCUGCCUGGUAGCGGGGGAUAACUAUUGGAAACGAUAGCUAAUACCGCAUAACAUUAUAUAUCGCAUGAUAGCUACUUGAAAGGUGCAAAUGCACCACUACCACAUGGACCUGCGUUGUAUUAGCUAGUUGGUGAGGUAACGGCUCACCAAGGCAACGAUACAUAGCCGACCUGAGAGGGUGAUCGGCCACACUGGGACUGAGACACGGCCCAGACUCCUACGGGAGGGAGCAGUAGGGAAUCUUCGGCAAUGGACGGAAGUCUGACCGAGCAACGCCGCGUGAGUGAAGAAGGUUUUCGGAUCGUAAAGCUCUGUUGUAAGAGAGGAACGAGUGUGAGAGUGGAAAGUUCACACUGUGACGGUAUCUUACCAGAAAGGGACGGCUAACUACGUG
This 497-nucleotide ribosomal RNA is filed under the name uncultured bacterium. RNAcentral's name for it is "partial 16S ribosomal RNA". It matches the Rfam family "Bacterial small subunit ribosomal RNA", at positions 28 to 507 of the family's 1533-position model. The record is from RNAcentral.